This 362-nucleotide ribosomal RNA is filed under the name uncultured bacterium. Its description in RNAcentral is "partial 16S ribosomal RNA". It matches the Rfam family "Bacterial small subunit ribosomal RNA", at positions 338 to 697 of the family's 1533-position model. The record is from RNAcentral.
CCUACGGGUGGCAGCAGUGAGGAAUAUUGGUCAAUGGACGGAAGGCUGAACCAGCCAAGCCGCGUGAAGGAUGAAGGUGCCAAGCGUUGUAAACUGCUUUUGUCAAAGGACAAACUCAGACUCGAGAGCCUGAUCGAGGGUAUCGUAAGAAAAAGCAUCGGCUAACUCCGUGCCAGCAGCCGCGGUAAUACGGAGGAUGCGAGCGUUAUCCGGAUUUAUUGGGUUUAAAGGGUGCGUAGGCGGGCUGUUAAGUGAGCGGGGAAAUGCCGGGGCUCAAACCCGAGCUAGCCUUUAAUACUGUUUGUCUUGAGACGUGUAGAGGUAUGCGGAAUGCAUAGUGUAGCGGUGAAAUGCUUAGAGAU